RNAcentral lists this transfer RNA (71 nucleotides) under Loxodonta africana (African savanna elephant). It matches the Rfam family "tRNA". Rfam says of the family: Transfer RNA (tRNA) molecules are approximately 80 nucleotides in length. Their secondary structure includes four short double-helical elements and three loops (D, anti-codon, and T loops). Further hydrogen bonds mediate the characteristic L-shaped molecular structure. tRNAs have two regions of fundamental functional importance: the anti-codon, which is responsible for specific mRNA codon recognition, and the 3' end, to which the tRNAs corresponding amino acid is attached (by aminoacyl-tRNA synthetases). tRNAs cope with the degeneracy of the genetic code in two manners: having more than one tRNA (with a specific anti-codon) for a particular amino acid; and 'wobble' base-pairing, i.e. permitting non-standard base-pairing at the 3rd anti-codon position. Lineage: Eukaryota; Metazoa; Chordata; Mammalia; Proboscidea; Elephantidae. The record is from Rfam by way of RNAcentral.
ACAGUAGUGGUUCAGUGGUGGAAUUCUCGCCUUCUGUGUGGGAGACCCAGGUUUGAUUCAUGGCCAAUGUA